UAAUAAGUGUUUUAUGGGCACUUUUUUAAAUCCAUAUCCACCUUGUGUGCAAUGUCAGUCGAUCUUCUUCAUGGAGAUCGACCAAACAUCAACCUUUAUUUUUUAUAACUCUUUGUAUGAAAAAUAUUAUACAUAAACAAUUCAAAAUA
This 149-nucleotide unclassified non-coding RNA is filed under the name soil metagenome. Its description in RNAcentral is "partial internal transcribed spacer 1". The record is from RNAcentral.